This is a long non-coding RNA of Mercenaria mercenaria, 4013 nucleotides long. RefSeq lists it as uncharacterized. The record is from RefSeq and is a predicted model, not a curated record. Lineage: Eukaryota; Metazoa; Mollusca; Bivalvia; Venerida; Veneridae. The transcript has 4 exons.
CGGGAUGAUAUCAACUUCCCUAUAACGGACCCGUCAUUACAAACACAUGUAGGAAACAUUGCUAGGCAGUGGGGAGGAUUUUGUGACGAAUACUGCCCCCGUCUUGACCAGUUCUGCUUGACUUGUGAGUAGUCCCAGCAGAUAUGACAGUAGAUUUUAAGGCUCUGCUGAUGGGUUCUCUCUUCCUUGUGGAUUACCUUGUGUUUGAGAGACCGAAGAACCUGAAGAGACAGAUUACCUGUCUCCUGUAGACAAUGUGUAUAUCGUAUGACAAAAAUAAAAAAUACACUUGCUUUGAAACUAAACAUCUUCAAAGACUUACUUGAAUGGACAGUUCUUAAAUGAUUUUUUUAUUUGUGUUGUUAUCUGAUUUUUAUUGUUUUAUAUUUCAUUGUCUCCCCAUACUAUGGUAGGGUGUAUUGACUUUGUCUGUCUGUCUGUCUGUCCGUAUGUCACAAAAGUUCAUUUAGACUCCUCUGAGACUACUGGUGAGAUUUCAGCAAAUCUUUAUAGGAAGGUUUAGUUUUAGGGCUAGUUUUGCGUAUCUUCCACAUUUUCUUUUUUAUUGAUUUUUUGAUGGAGUUUUGGCCGCAUAAAUGUUAAAUUUGUAUAAAACUUUUUGACACAAGAGACACUUCUGCAGCACAAUCAGCUUGUAUUGCAAACAGUGCUGUUUUACCUCUCUGGAUAUCUUUGCUCUGCAUAUUCAUUAAAACUUUUACUCUGCCAUUUUUAAACAAAGCAGUAUGGGAAGCCAUGUGCUUUUUCUAGAAGCAGUCUCAAGUUUUAGAAGCAGUCUCAAGUUUUAUACCAUUUUAUGACCUUCAGAUAAAGAAAUGAACAACUUGUUGAAUAGGAUACAAACUUUGUCAGGAUUUUGUUAUGUUCUAAAGAACUAAACCUUUUCAUAUGUUUUUUUUAUAUUAAGAAAAGAGAAUAUUCAAAAAAGCAACUUUACUGAUGUGUGAAUUAUUGAUGUCACCAACUACAUGUAUGUGACAAAGUUUUAUCAAUAUGUUGUAAAUAUACAUGUAUACAUUAGUAGAAAUAACAGUAUGUAUGGUGUACUUUUUAACAAUUAUUUAACCAUUAUUGAUAUUUUAUCCAACGUGUUUUUAUCUGAUAAUUGUUAAACAAGAGAACAAACUACUUCUGUUGAUUAUUUCUCAUUAUUUCCAUGACAGCUGUCACAAACAACUUUCUGUUUCUAAUAUAUUGUUGACAUAAAAUUAUUUUGUUACUAUCUACUGUAGAUUAGGUAACUUUUACAAAAGUUUUAUUUUUCUGUUUCAUGGUUAGCAACCGUAUUGAUGGUGUAAAGCAUUCACUAAACACAAGUUUCUUCUGUUUAAGGACAUAAUGCUGAGUGGUAUUAUUCAGGAGUGAUAGUGAAAAUAAAACCACUACCAACAAGUAUACAGUAUGAAAAUCUGUACAGUGUCAACUUUGACAACAUAUUGAACUUUACCAUUAUAGAAAUAAAAAAGGCUGUAGAAUUCAAAUGGGACAAAUUCAUGAUGAACCUUAAACAUUUUUUCUGAAGUCUGUGUUUUAUGAAUGAUAUAUUCAUACACCACUGAAAAUAAUGGCAAUAAAUACUAUCAGAGUGAGUACCCUAGAGAGUGGCAGGUACCGGUAUGUACAGAUGCUCAGCUGGUGUUUCCUGUCAUCAUUCUCGGAGGUGUUUAGAUAGAAAAUACGUUGUAUUUCAGAUUGAUUAAAUAGUUGAAAGUUACUGUUCUAUUUUCAUAUUGUUUGCAACUACUGCAAUCUACCCCAGGUAUUUGUGACACUUGUGUACUGUGAUAUAUUUGGGACAUACCAUUUUAUAAGGCAGGAGAUGCAAGGUGCUUGCUACAUUAUCAAUACAUGUUUUUGAAUUCUUAAUCUUUUAUGUGGAUAAUGACUACUUGAUUUUAUUUUUCUGUGUUUCAAUUUCUGCUAAUACUUGUUUAACCAGUGAAAAAUAUUUUUCCACUGAAUAAUAUAGAAUAAUUGCAGUAUAACUCAAUUGAAAGAGCAUCAACUUGAGCAUUGGGACAAAUACCAACAAGUAUACAGUAUACCCUAACCUGCUGUCAUCACCAGUCAGAAAUAAAAUGGUGAAUUCCCAGAAUUGAUCUGAGCUCAUUAUCUUAUAUUAUUUUUAUCAAGUGUGUUUUACUUUAGUGAUAACAAAAGAACAAAAUCAUUGUGUGCAUGUUACAAAUUGUUACUUCCUUGUUAUGCAUGUCAUAUGUUUAUGCAAACAGCAUUAAAUAAUAGCUGAUGUUAUGGGAAAAGUUACUUUUUUCCUGGUUAAGGAAUUAUUUAGAUGUCAUUUUAAAUGGUAAUGGCUCUUUUUCAAGUAUUUUCAUCUUUCAGUGAUAACACAUGUUGUUUCAUGUUACAACGUCUGCAGUAUUCCGAGGGAUGGGUGAGGGUACCAAAGUACCUAGAGGGACUCUGAAGAUGUUAUGACUUGAAAUUAGCAUUAAUUUUGUUAAUGCUAUUCUGAUAUAAAAGGUGUUAAAAGAAAUAAAUGAAUAUAUUGUCCCUCAGCAUCAUUAAAUUUCUUUGAAAUGCACUCUUUUAUCAUGUUGACUACAUUUCCUUUUGAAUUAUCCAUUUUAGGGCUGUACUACAUUUAUGUUUUGCCACUGAACAUGCUCAUAUGUAAAAGGUGUUUUAACAGCAUGUGAGGGCACAAUCUCUCUGUUAACACAUGUUUACUUUCCCUUCCAUUAAAGCACCCCUAAAAAUGACCAGAACAGCAGUUUUAUGUUAGAAUAUUUUAAUACAUGGACCUGGUUCCUGAUAAUUGUCAUUAUUGUUGAAAUCUAUUUUAAAUGUAAUUGCGGAAAAUCUUCGAGACUUGAUUUGAGAGAAUACUCUGUUGUAGAAAUACCUUAAGAUGGUCAAUCAUUAUACCAAGAACCACUUAAAUCAUGUAGUGUGUUGACAUGUAUCAUGUUGUACUACUGCACAGCAGAUAUGGUUAAAAAAUUGAAAAAAAUCGUAUCAUAAAAAUUGGGUAUAUCACAAAUAGUAACAGAUAGGGAUUUGGACUUUGCCUACUUUCUUUUUGCCUCAUUUCAUUCUGAUAUGUGCUCAUCGAACAGUUGUUUUGCUCAAUGGAAGAAAAGUCCCUAACAAGGCAAGUUACUAUAUUUUGGAUCCAUGUUUGAAACUUGCAAACGCCUUAAACAUAUUUUACACAGCCUGGUGGAUAGCCUUUUUUUAUCAUUUUAAGGACAUUGUUUUAUUACAUGUAUUUUCUUUAUGAUUAAACGAAACAUUUAAACAGAAAAUAGCAAAUGCACAUAUUUAUGUUUAUAUUGUGAAAAUACUGGGUAAAAAAAUGCACAUCUGUGAUUUUAGACAUUGAUAUUUCCCUUUAUUGCUUGAGAUAUGGGAGUUAGAACAUUUUUUCUACAGAUUUUCGUUUGGACCUUUGAAGCUAGUGACUCCAAAAAUACAAUCAUUAUCUUUACAGUCUAAGAUUUACAUAUAAAGUGAUAUUGUAUAUGAUUUUACUAGUUUUACACAGCGCUUUAACAACUACUUCAUAUCAAAACAUUUCUUUUUUUUGCCUUUCUUAACCUAAUUUUUACAACUGUUAGAACUUCAUAUAUUGAUGUUAAUCUAAUGUUUUACUGUUUAUGUUGUUAUUUCUUAAUGAUUUUCUCAAUAUGACAGUAUUUAAAAUGCUUUUUGAUACCUAGCACAAAUUUCUGGCAAGUACAUUAAUGAAAUAACAGUCCAAGGCCUUCUUGCCAGUUGAUCUCUUUUUCAAACGAAAAGUGAUGUAAAGCUUUAUAAAUAUUUCAUUUUAAUUUUUUCGUUAGAAAUCAAGGUAUGAAAAAUUUAUGCACAAUGCAUCUGCACAAAUAUUAAUCCGAUUAUAAUUUAUAUACAUGUAUUGCUAAUUAUAUCUGCAUAUAAAACACUGCUUUAUGAUUCUUAGCUAAAACAUUAUGAUCUAUAUAUUACUAGUAUUUGUACAGAAAUAAAAUCAGUAGAUAAUUCUUGAA